Molecule: unclassified non-coding RNA, 210 nt
Filed under: Ambisporaceae sp.
Lineage: Eukaryota; Fungi; Glomeromycota; Glomeromycetes; Archaeosporales; Ambisporaceae
Description: partial contains 5.8S ribosomal RNA and internal transcribed spacer 2
Rfam family: 5.8S ribosomal RNA (bases 1-71)
Source: RNAcentral
GUGAAUCAUCAAAUUUUUGAACGCAUAUUGCACUCCCUGGUAUUCCGGGGAGUAUGCCUAUUUGAGGGUCAGUUUUAAUAAUAUAAAUUCCAAGAUUUCUCGGAAUUUAAAAUGGGUUGUCCAUUUUUUGUUGUCGCCUAUAAUUCAAGACAAGCUCAUUUUCUUUGGUUGCGUGAUUCUUUCAGUUAACUCGUGACUUAUCUAGUUAUC